UAAUACAUGCAAGUCGAGCGAGCUUGCCUAGAUGAUUUUGGUGCUUGCACUAAAUGAAACUAGAUACAAGCGAGCGGCGGACGGGUGAGUAACACGUGGGUAACCUGCCCAAGAGACUGGGAUAACACCUGGAAACAGAUGCUAAUACCGGAUAACAACACUAGACGCAUGUCUAGAGUUUGAAAGAUGGUUCUGCUAUCACUCUUGGAUGGACCUGCGGUGCAUUAGCUAGUUGGUAAGGUAACGGCUUACCAAGGCGAUGAUGCAUAGCCGAGUUGAGAGACUGAUCGGCCACAUUGGGACUGAGACACGGCCCAAACUCCUACGGGAGGCAGCAGUAGGGAAUCUUCCACAAUGGACGAAAGUCUGAUGGAGCAACGCCGCGUGAGUGAAGAAGGGUUUCGGCUCGUAAAGCUCUGUUGGUAGUGAAGAAAGAUAGAGGUAGUAACUGGCCUUUAUUUGACGGUAAUUACUUAGAAAGUCACGGCUAACUACGUGCCAGCAGCCGCGGUAAUAC
This 517-nucleotide ribosomal RNA is filed under the name Lactobacillus johnsonii. RNAcentral's name for it is "bacterial SSU rRNA". It matches the Rfam family "Bacterial small subunit ribosomal RNA", at positions 49 to 526 of the family's 1533-position model. The record is from RNAcentral. Lineage: Bacteria; Bacillati; Bacillota; Bacilli; Lactobacillales; Lactobacillaceae.